RNAcentral lists this ribosomal RNA (442 nucleotides) under uncultured bacterium. RNAcentral's name for it is "partial 16S ribosomal RNA". It matches the Rfam family "Bacterial small subunit ribosomal RNA", at positions 338 to 795 of the family's 1533-position model. The record is from RNAcentral.
CCUACGGGAGGCGGCAGUAGGGAAUUUUUCACAAUGGGCGAAAGCCUGAUGGAGCAACGCCGCGUGCAGGAUGAAGGCCUUCGGGUUGUAAACUGCUUUUAUAAGCGAGAAAUAUGAUGGUAACUUAUGAAUAAGGAUCGGCUAACUACGUGCCAGCAGCCGCGGUCAUACGUAGGAUCCGAGCAUUAUCCGGAGUGACUGGGUGUAAAGAGUUGCGUAGGUGGCAUAAUAAGUAGCUAGUGAAAUCUGGUGGCUCAACCAUUCAGACUAUUAGCUAAACUGUUAAGCUCGAGACCGUUAGGGGUAACUGGAAUUUCUAGUGUAGGAGUGAAAUCCGUAGAUAUUAGAAGGAACACCAAUAGCGUAGGCAGGUUGCUGGGACGGUUCUGACACUAAGGCACGAAAGCGUAGGGAGCAAACGGGAUUAGAUACCCCUGUAGUC